Molecule: ribosomal RNA, 429 nt
Filed under: Actinomycetes bacterium
Lineage: Bacteria; Bacillati; Actinomycetota; Actinomycetes
Description: Actinobacteria bacterium partial 16S ribosomal RNA
Rfam family: Bacterial small subunit ribosomal RNA
Source: RNAcentral
UAGGGAAUCUUCCGCAAUGGGCGAAAGCCUGACGGAGCAACGCCGCGUGAGUGAUGAAGGUCUUCGGAUCGUAAAACUCUGUUAUUAGGGAAGAACAAAUGUGUAAGUAACUAUGCACGUCUUGACGGUACCUAAUCAGAAAGCCCCGGCUAACUACGUGCCAGCAGCCGCGGUAAUACGUAGGUGGCAAGCGUUAUCCGGAAUUAUUGGGCGUAAAGCGCGCGUAGGCGGUUUUUUAAGUCUGAUGUGAAAGCCCACGGCUCAACCGUGGAGGGUCAUGGGAAACUGGAAAACUUGAGUGCAGAAGAGGAAAGUGGAAUUCCAUGUGUAGCGGUGAAAUGCGCAGAGAUAUGGAGGAACACCAGUGGCGAAGGCGACUUUCUGGUCUGUAACUGACGCUGAUGUGCGAAAGCGUGGGGAUCAAACAGG